This 253-nucleotide ribosomal RNA is filed under the name uncultured bacterium. RNAcentral's name for it is "partial 16S ribosomal RNA". It matches the Rfam family "Bacterial small subunit ribosomal RNA", at positions 524 to 776 of the family's 1533-position model. The record is from RNAcentral.
UACGACGGGGGCUAGCGUUGCUCGGAAUCACUGGGCGUAAAGGGUGCGUAGGCGGGUCUUUAAGUCAGAGGUGAAAUCCUGGAGCUCAACUCCAGAACUGCCUUUGAUACUGAAGAUCUUGAGUUCGGGAGAGGUGAGUGGAACUGCGAGUGUAGAGGUGAAAUUCGUAGAUAUUCGCAAGAACACCAGUGGCGAAGGCGGCUCACGGGCCCGAUACUGACGCUGAGGCACGAAAGCGUGGGGAGCAAACAGG